ACGCUCGACACCUACGGGAGGCAGCAGUGAGGAAUAUUGGUCAAUGGGCGCUAGCCUGAACCAGCCAAGUAGCGUGAAGGAUGAAGGCUCUAUGGGUCGUAAACUUCUUUUAUAUAAGAAUAAAGUGCAGUAUGUAUACUGUUUUGUAUGUAUUAUAUGAAUAAGGAUCGGCUAACUCCGUACCAGCAGCCGCGUAAUCUGAGCGGCUGGCAAGGC
This 216-nucleotide ribosomal RNA is filed under the name uncultured bacterium. RNAcentral's name for it is "partial 16S ribosomal RNA". It matches the Rfam family "Bacterial small subunit ribosomal RNA", at positions 328 to 539 of the family's 1533-position model. The record is from RNAcentral.